Molecule: ribosomal RNA, 253 nt
Filed under: uncultured prokaryote
Description: partial 16S ribosomal RNA
Rfam family: Bacterial small subunit ribosomal RNA
Source: RNAcentral
ACGUAGGUGGCAAGCGUUGUCCGGAAUUAUUGGGCGUAAAGCGCGCGCAGGCGGUCCUUUAAGUCUGAUGUGAAAGCCCACGGCUCAACCGUGGAGGGUCAUUGGAAACUGGGGGACUUGAGUGCAGAAGAGGAAAGUGGAAUUCCACGUGUAGCGGUGAAAUGCGUAGAGAUGUGGAGGAACACCGAUUGCGAAGGCAGCUCACAAAACUAUAACUGACACUGAGGCUCGAAAGUGCGGGGAUCAAACAGGA